This 3703-nucleotide long non-coding RNA is filed under the name Setaria italica (foxtail millet). RNAcentral describes it as "long non-coding RNA (SITA_LNC006688)". The record is from RNAcentral. Lineage: Eukaryota; Viridiplantae; Streptophyta; Magnoliopsida; Poales; Poaceae.
UUCAGGAUGAGAGGUUAGACAUAAUCUAUUCCAUUCCAAAGCUUUCAACAGCCGAACAAAGCAUAAUUUCUGCUGAUGGAUGGCAGGUAGGUUUAGUCUUGCACACACAUGCAGUAUAUACACAGAAGAAGCGAGUAGUGAUCCUGUACAAAGGCUGGACGAGCUAGCUUCCUAAUCGCCAUUGGAGAUCAGCUAAUAUUCUCCAGGUGAGUACUAGGCACAAUCAUUUACACACAUAACUAGAGAAGAAAGUGAAGGGAUAAUAGCAGCUCUAGCUACAACCGGCGGCGGUCGGAGGAGGCGAGGCCGUCGUCGAAGUUCUGAGAGUAGCUCUGCAGGUCGUACCCGAAGCUCACCGCGGCCCGACGCCUCGGCCGCGCGGCGCGUCUCCUCCUCCACGUGGACCUCAGCCUCGACAGCAGCUGCUUCACCGCCGCCGCCGACCGGCCGCCGCUCCUCCUCCGGCUGUUGCUGCCGCCGGUGUACAGGCCCAGCUGCAGAGACGCCAUCCUCUCCUAGCUCUCUCGAUCAGUCGAUCGCUAACACGAUCACAGUCGGAGCGUUAUGUUAUGAUCAGAACGCAGACUUGUCGCGCUCGCAAGUCGCAACUAGCUGCCCGCGGCCUCUCUGCUCGUAGCUACCUCUGCAAUGAAGCUUCUCAAGACCUUGUGCCAGAGAACGCACCCCAUGGUGCUGCUUUUAUAAGCUGGGGCAGGUGAUGUGUUCCGACACGCGUCGUCGCGGCGAGACCCGCCAGCAGCAUGGUGACGAGACAUCCACUACGGCGAUCGCCGUGUGGACGACGGUCCGGGCAAAAGCCGAUUCCAGGCAUCUUUUUCGUGCGGUCGAAAAGAAAAGGUAACCGUCGUCUAGCACGCACCAACCGCAGCACAGCAGCAUGCGUGUUUUUGUUGGUUUGGUGGUAGGCUUUCCUUACUCGGUUACUCCUUAGUGACCUGUCGAGCUAGCUAGGACGCAUCAUGCAUGAGAGAGAGGUGGCCACGGCCGUCGCCGGCCUGAACCGCUGCUAGUGAAGCGGAGGUGCGUUAUGGUCGGCGCCCUCGUGUCGUGAUGCCGAGCUAGUCUACCGUGCACGCGCGCGGGGGGCGCCGGUCGACUGGAAUGUCACCUGCAGAAUGCGUUUCCGCUGCCUGUCGCCUGCCGAUUGCCGAAUAAUCCCUGGGUGAGUUGGGCGAGGUGUUUUAUUUCAAAAAGGAAAAGUUGGCCGAGAUGUGAUGCGGCUCCAUUGUAUUGCUACUCGAGGCUACGAUUUGCCCGCGUGCACAGCAGUGCUCAACAUGACAUGUCAUCACAGCAGGCUGGGAUCUUAUCCUUGUAGAUGAAAGGCAAAUUGAAUCCAAAAGUAUAUACUCCACAACGUACACGUGUCUUAAAGCUUGGAACAUGGACACAUGGUCGUCUUUGGAUAAUCCUAAAAGAAGAUGACAUCGAGUCAUAAUCAUGCGUAGGAUUGAGGUGGGAGCGUAUUAGAAAGUGGUCUACUGACUACAACGAACUAGUGCAUCGUAAAGAAAGAGAAAGGGAACGCACUAGUGUUAAAGCAAAAAAAAAAACAUCGAGAUCAUUCGUUGAAUGGAUAUCGGGAACACAGAAAUUGUCAUGUUCCGAUGACAACGAAUUUUUACAUCCUGCAAAAGUGUAGUCGGAAAGAAAUUAAUUAAGGGGUGUUUGGCCCCUGUCACAUCAGAUGUUUGAUACUAAUUAGGAGUAUUAAACAUAGGCUAAUUACAAAACUAAUUGUACAACUCCUAGGCUAAAUCGCGAGACGAAUCUAUUAAGCCUAAUUAGUCCAUGAUUUGGCAAUGUGGCGCUACAGUAACUAUUCGCUAAUGAUGGAUUAAUUAGGCUUAAUAGAUUCGUCUCGUGAUUUAGCCUAAAGGUUCUGCUAUUAGUUUUAUAAUUAGCUCAUAUUUAGUCCUCCUAAUUAGUAUCCAAACAUCCGAUAGGUUAAAGUUUAGCCCCUACCUUCCAAACAUCCCAGCUAAAUGCACACUGAUGUCAAAGCAAUUUCGUCCUCUAGAAGGGGAGCGAGGAAGCUUCGAGUCAUCAGUCUGAUCGACGUAUUACACAAAAAGGAUCCAAGAAUUGGUGGUGGCAGCAUGGGGAUCGGUGUCGUACAGAUGAUCCGAGUCAUCGUGGUCCAAGGAUGACUGGCCAUAUUUUCGCUUUUAAACUUUUGCCAUGAUGUUAGAUUUUUGCUUGCGUGAUGCGCUCCCUUUUACACGGCUACUUCUCAGUACCUUUAACUUGGCUACAGAAAUUAAGAACAAAAUGAUUUUUCGUUUGGAAUCAGCUACAAAAGUUCCCACAGAAUUUGUCUAUUUAAGUAUUUUUCAACUCCACUUUUGAUUAGGAUUGUAAAUUUCGCCUUAUAAUGCAGCAAAAUAGUUAAAACAUGAGAAUCUAAGUAUAAAUAUUAGUCACGGUACUGCAAAACAUGAGAAAAAGGUGCAUGAUUUACUCUUUUGGUCACUUAUCGAAUACCUAUAUGUCUUGGUUUUUACAAAAUGGAACUUGUCAUGCUUCUGCAUUCUCGAUUAAUGCAGCGGCUAAGGUAAUUUUAUUUAAAUCCACUAUAUAUCCCAAAAGAAAAGCGAAUACCUGUCGGAUCAACAAAUUUUGCACGAGAACAUAUCACAUCAUCAGCUAAAAAGAAACCAAAACUAGAGUUUUAAAAUUUUGUGGCAUUCAUAAUUUCAGCGAUCUCACUGGCCACCGAAAAAUCCGCUAGAAAGCCGCAGACAGUUUGGGCCGAUGAACAACAACAAUCGGUUACAGGUUUGUGGCACAUAUCAGAACAGAGAAAGAUCUCAGAAUCAGGUUAGAAGCCAUUCCAUUCCAAGCUUCCCACAGCUGAACAAAGCAUAAUUUUGCUGAUGGAUGGCAGGUUUAGUUUAGUCUUGCAUACACAGCUGACUACACAGAAUUACAAGAAGCGAGGUGAUCCUGUACAAAUUAAAGACUGCACGAGCUAGCUAGCUAAUCAUCACUGGAAAUCGGCUAGUACUCUCCCGGUGACGAGGCACAAUCAUUUACACACAGAACUGGAGAAGAAACUGAAGGAAUAAUAGUACUGGCUCAUAGCUCUAGGUUCUAGCUACAACCGGCGGUGGUCGGAGGAGGCGAGGCCGUCGUCGAAGUUGUGGCAGUAGCUCUGCAGGUCGUACCCGAACCUCACCGCGGCCCUCCUCGGCCGCACCACGCGUCUCCUCCACGUGGACCUCAGCCUCGACAGCAGCUGCUUCGCCGCCGCCGCCGCCGACAGGCCGCCGCUCCUGGCAUGGAACCUCCUCCGGCUGCCGCCGGUGUACAGGCCCAGCUGCAGAGAUGGCAUCCUCUCUCUCGAUCGCUCACAAGUCACAAGCUAGGCACAAACUCUCUCGCAACUAGCUUCCCGGCCUCUCUGCUCGUAGCUACCUCUGCGACUGAAGCUUCUGAAGACCUUGAGCCAAAGAACGCACCCCAUGACCCCAUAUAUGGUGCUGCUUUGUAAGCUGGGGGCAGGGGAUGUGUUCCGACACGCGUCGACGUCGCGGCAAGACCCGCCAGCAGCGCGGUGACGAGGCUUCCACUACGGCGAUCGCCGGAAUGGUCUGGGCAAAAUCCGAUCUGAGGCAUCUUUUCCAGCACUGCUGUGGAAUGCCUUCGGUACCGGUCCUAAAGCCCGUUUGUACUGGUCGUG